This 253-nucleotide ribosomal RNA is filed under the name uncultured bacterium. RNAcentral describes it as "partial 16S ribosomal RNA". It matches the Rfam family "Bacterial small subunit ribosomal RNA", at positions 524 to 776 of the family's 1533-position model. The record is from RNAcentral.
UACAGAGGUCCCAAGCGUUGUUCGGAUUCAUUGGGCGUAAAGGGUGCGUAGGCGGCGCGGUAAGUCGGGUGUGAAAUCUCGGAGCUUAACUCCGAAACUGCAUUCGAUACUGCCGUGCUUGAGGACUGGAGAGGAGACUGGAAUUUACGGUGUAGCGGUGAAAUGCGUAGAUAUCGUAAGGAAGACCAGUGGCGAAGGCGGGUCUCUGGACAGUUCCUGACACUGAGGUGCGAAAGCGUGGGGAGCAAACAGG